RNAcentral lists this ribosomal RNA (387 nucleotides) under uncultured bacterium. Its description in RNAcentral is "bacterial SSU rRNA". It matches the Rfam family "Bacterial small subunit ribosomal RNA", at positions 29 to 407 of the family's 1533-position model. The record is from RNAcentral.
AACGAACGCUGGCGGCGCGCCUAACACAUGCAAGUCGAACGAGAAGGCGUAGCAAUACGCUUGUAAAGUGGCGAACGGGUGAGGAACACGUGGGUAACCUACCCUUGAGUGGGGAAUAACCCGCCGAAAGGUGGGCUAAUGCCGCGUACGCUUCCAUCUCUUCGGGGGUGGAAGGAAAGCUGUACCGAGGGUACGGCGCUCUAGGAUGGGCUCGCGUCCUAUCAGCUUGUUGGUAGGGUAACGGCCACCAAGGCAACGACGGGUAGCUGGUCUGAGAGGACGAUCAGCCACACUGGCACUGCGACACGGGCCAGACUCCUACGGGAGGCAGCAGUGAGGAAUAUUGCGCAAUGGGCGAAAGCCUGACGCAGCGACGCCGCGUGGGGA